AGUGAACGCUGGCGGUAGGCCUAACACAUGCAAGUCGAACGGCGGCACAGUAAGAGCUUGCUCUUACGGGUGGCGAGUGGCGGACGGGUGAGGAAUACAUCGGAAUCUACUUUUUCGUGGGGGAUAACGUAGGGAAACUUACGCUAAUACCGCAUACGACCUACGGGUGAAAGCAGGGGAUCUUCGGACCUUGCGCGAUUGAAUGAGCCGAUGUCGGAUUAGCUAGUUGGCGGGGUAAAGGCCCACCAAGGCGACGAUCCGUAGCUGGUCUGAGAGGAUGAUCAGCCACACUGGAACUGUGACACGGUCCAGGCUCCUACGGGAGGCAGCAGUGGGGAAUAUUGGACAAUGGGCGCAAACCUGAUCCAGCCAUACCGCGUGGGUGAAGAAGGCCUUCGGGUUGUAAAGCCCUUUUGUUGGGAAAGAAAAGCAGCAGGUUAAUACCCCGCUGUUCUGACGGUACCCAAAGAAUAAGCACCGGCUAACUUCGUG
Molecule: ribosomal RNA, 492 nt
Filed under: uncultured bacterium
Lineage: Bacteria
Description: partial 16S ribosomal RNA
Rfam family: Bacterial small subunit ribosomal RNA
Source: RNAcentral